This 498-nucleotide ribosomal RNA is filed under the name uncultured bacterium. RNAcentral describes it as "partial 16S ribosomal RNA". It matches the Rfam family "Bacterial small subunit ribosomal RNA", at positions 30 to 523 of the family's 1533-position model. The record is from RNAcentral.
AUUGAACGCUGGCGGCAUGCCUUACACAUGCAAGUCGAACGGUAACAGGUCUUCGGAUGCUGACGAGUGGCGAACGGGUGAGUAAUACAUCGGAACGUGCCUAGUAGUGGGGGAUAACUACUCGAAAGAGUGGCUAAUACCGCAUGAGAUCUACGGAUGAAAGCAGGGGAUCGCAAGACCUUGUGCUACUAGAGCGGCCGAUGGCAGAUUAGGUAGUUGGUGGGAUAAAAGCUUACCAAGCCGACGAUCUGUAGCUGGCCUGAGAGGACGAUCAGCCACACUGAGACUGAGACACGGCCCAGACUCCUGCGGGAGGCAGCAGUGGGGAAUGUUGGACAAUGGGCGAAAGCCUGAUCCAGCAGUGCCGCGUGCAGGAUGAAGGCCUUCGGGUUGUAAACUGCUUUUGUACGGAACGAAAAGCCCCGGGUUAAUACCCUGGGGUCAUGACGGUACCGUAAGAAUAAGCACCGGCUAACUACGUGCCAGCCGCCGCGGUAA